AUUGAACGCUGGCGGCAUGCUUUACACAUGCAAGUCGAACGGCAGCGCGGGGCAACCUGGCGGCGAGUGGCGAACGGGUGAGUAAUAUAUCGGAACGUACCCAAGAGUGGGGGAUAACGUAGCGAAAGUUAUGCUAAUACCGCAUACGAUCUAUGGAUGAAAGCAGGGGACCGCAAGGCCUUGUGCCCCUGGAUCGGCAGAUAUCUGAUUAGCGAGUUGGUGAGGUAAAGGUUCACCAAGGCGACGAGCAGUAGCUGGUCUGAGAGGACGACCAGCCACACUGGAACUGAGGCACGGUCCAGACUCCUACGGGAGGCAGCAGUGGAGAAUUUUGGACAAUGGGCGCAAGCCUGAUCCAGCAAUGCCGCGUGAGUGAAGAAGGCCUUCGGGUUGUAAAGCUCUUUUGUCAGGGAAGAAACGGCUGUGGCUAAUAUCCACGGCUAAUGACGGUACCUGAAGAAUAAGCACCGGCUAACUACGUGCCAGCCGCCGCCGUAA
This 498-nucleotide ribosomal RNA is filed under the name uncultured bacterium. RNAcentral's name for it is "partial 16S ribosomal RNA". It matches the Rfam family "Bacterial small subunit ribosomal RNA", at positions 30 to 523 of the family's 1533-position model. The record is from RNAcentral.